AUGUGUCGACAUAUGCAGCCUGAAUCAGUGUACUUUCUGGAAAUCAAUGCAUUUAUCAGACUGGUUUCAGAUUGGAAUGAGUGUUCAAUGCGUCUUACAUCUCCUAUUUUAUUUUUUGUUAAUAUAAGUGAAAUAUUUCUAUAUCACUGUCGCCUUCAAUAUUUAGCUAUUGUGUGCUUCAGUAUUAUUCACUGGUUGUCAGAUAUAUGGAAACGUAGUACAAAUAUGAGCACCCUUGAAGGACUGAAUGAGUUUCACUCGAGGCUCCAGAGGAAAAAUACGUACCCCAUUGCCAUCAAAGUCACCUCCAAGGGAGAUGACGUCCUGAUUCCAUACACUAUGUCUCCAAGGAAUGCAAUGUCCAUGAUGCAUGUGAAGGUGGUACUAUAUAGCUGA
This 396-nucleotide ribosomal RNA is filed under the name Triticum aestivum (bread wheat). RNAcentral's name for it is "partial small subunit ribosomal RNA". Lineage: Eukaryota; Viridiplantae; Streptophyta; Magnoliopsida; Poales; Poaceae. The record is from RNAcentral.